GGAGAGGUGUCCGAGAGGUUGAAGGUGAUAGUCUCGAAAACUAUUGCGCGAGAGAUCGUGCCGAGGGUUCAAAUCCCUCUCUCUCCGCCA
Molecule: transfer RNA, 90 nt
Filed under: Tissierellia bacterium
Lineage: Bacteria; Bacillati; Bacillota; Tissierellia
Description: tRNA-Ser
Rfam family: tRNA
About the family: Transfer RNA (tRNA) molecules are approximately 80 nucleotides in length. Their secondary structure includes four short double-helical elements and three loops (D, anti-codon, and T loops).
Source: RNAcentral